CAAACACUAGCUGUCCAAACACUAUGUUGCACAGAGUUAUAAAUGGAGCGAUACAUUGGGCAAGACUGUGGUACAGAGGCUCAGAUAAAAGCACAAUGAGGCUCAGAUAGGAGAACAUUCAGUUCAUUUUUUAUUUCACACUACACCAACAGGGCAAUAUAAUAAAGCUGUUGACUGUGGUAAAUGAAUAAUAUCUUAAAUAACAUCUGCAGUUUUACGAAUAAAAAUGGAACAUGUAAUUCAGUACAUAAAGGAAAUUUAUAUUUAGCCAUUUAGAGGACACUUUUUAUCCAAAGUGACUUACAAAUGCAAUUUAUCAUAAGCCCAAAAUAUUUGCAGUCCUAUAAAAAUGAAAAUUCUGGACAAAAUAUAUUACAAAUAUGUGCAAAAUACUUUGGAAACAGCACAACUUUAGGAUUUUUUUUUUUUUUUUUUUCAAAUUGAAAAUAUAUUUUAUUUAAACUUUCAAAUGUCAACAUGUAUAUCUAAAUGUACUUCAAUUGGCAAUAAAAUACAUUUCCAAAAUCUUUAAAAAAACAAACAAAAAAAAAUAUGAAAAAUAUUUUUGCAGAAAGUGUUACACAACUCCAAAAUCUAUAAGCUAGAGUACACAAGUUAGGAAAUAAAAUUAAAACAAUAUUGAAUAUGUUAAAUGCUAUUGAAACAAGUGUGUAAAAUAUAAACAAUAUUAAAACAGAGGCUUUUUUGGACUGCUUUUGCUGAUACAUUUCAAACCAUGAAUUUCACUUUCCAGAAUGUUUUCAUUCACUGUUCCUUGCUGGUGGAAUGAUCUUCCCAACCCUAAUCGUAAUGCCGAAUUCCUGACAAUAUUCAAGAAACAGCUGAAAAUCUCUGCUGAGAAAAAAACAAAACAAAAAAAACUUCACUAUUCCUUAAUCUCUCCCUGUUCUAGCUUGUACUAUUCUCUAAACGGUGUCUGAAACUUUGUUUCACCUGUACUUUUUAGAUUACCUUACUAUAAUACUGGACAGCUUUAUAUACCAAGACUAAGCAGCCUUACACCACAAGCAGUUUAUCAGCAAAAAGAAAAAAAAGCCUCAGUUUCUUCUUUUCUUCAUAUUUCUUCUUCUACUUCUUCACGCAUAAGGAAUGGUUUUUCCCAAAAGUCCAGUUGUCAAGCUAGUAUUGCUAUUAUUUGUACUUUCAGAACAAUAUGUUUAACAUCAGGGUAAACAUGCAAUUAUCUGUGCACACUCUGUGUUAUCUGGUUCAUAAUAACAGGAUUUGCUUCCGGCUGUGUAUAAUUAUAUUUGCAAAGGUGUUCAAUUAAACGAUAAGGUUUAGUGAUUCCAUGCAGGAAUUCCAGGAGCCUCCUAUGACAUGCUCUAUUCCCAGAUUUAGGCUGUUUGAGUCCUCUGGGUCUUUAAAUACAACACUGAGCUCUUCGAUCAGAAUCAAAACCACAACACUGACCAGAGAUCAGCAGGAUGAGGGAAAUAUCUACAUAGCUCCAGAAAAAGACAUUGAAGGAUGUUCUUGAUUACAGAGGAUUGCUGAACUUCCUCCCUAACCCCUGAAAACCAACACCUGGUGUUGCUGCAGCUGUGAUGUAUGAUAUUAACACACACACUCACAUACUUACAUAGUGUGGACCAAAACACCUAGAUUUCCAGGAAUGAGGAAAUUAUACUCCCUGUGCCGUGAUGUAUACCUGCCAAUGCAAACUGUAUCAGUGGAGAGUUUCUCAAUGAGAACCCACAGUGGGAGUAAGAGGAUCCCUCUGUGCUAAUAACGGAAAUUGCAUGGAUAAUUUGGAAUAGGCUAGAACUACGAAUGCAACAUGGAUUAUGUGCUAGAAAGUAAUACUAUAUUUAGGAACAAAGUGAAAAGAUUUAGCAGUUGGUGGUUCAGGGAGUUGGGAGAGAGUAAUUGAAUCAGAAGAGGUGGGGAAAUGGAAAGAACAAGACUUUAAAAUGCCAUAAAACGGUCUUGCCAAAGUUGCCAUUUUUUGCCUCACUGUUCACUUAGGAAUAAAACAAUGCACAGUUGUUUAGUUCUGCUUUAGACAAAUACAUAAACAUUGUCUCAAUGAAACACAUUGUAUGGUGUGGUGUUUCUAAUAGAAGACCCCACUGAGCUCCAUCAAGAGGGAAAUGCUCAAACACAGAGAGAUUUUUUUUACUCAAUAUACAGUUUUUCUCGAUUGCUUAAACACUAUAACCAGGCUUUUGAACUAAAAUUUCAAAAUCAUAACGGCAUUUAUCAAAAAGCACACCCAUUUCCCUAAACUAUAAACACUAUUCUCCUUUUUGACACAUGAAUCAGAUUUGUUGAACUGUCACUUCAAAACUCUACACACAAAUUCUUUCAUUUCUCAUUGCCUACACCAUGUUGUCAUUUAGAAAGCACUAGCAUUCAAUAUUGUUCACUCAGGUCAGCAUAGCUUGAGCUCAAUUAGCACACAGUUACCCAUGUGGAAACACUAAGAGUCAAAAUUUAUCACAAACCAAUCAGAACCUUCAAUAGAGAGAUAAAAGAGCCCGAGUCAGUUCAUUCAGUUUUGGAACAAUGGAUCCAGAGAGACAUGACUGAAAAGGUCGAGGACACCAGAGAGGAGGAGGAAGAGGAUGAGCAAGAGUGGUAAAGAGUGGAGGAAGAGGUGAGGGAAGAGGAUGAGGAUGAGGUGCAAGGAGACAAGGAGUCUCAGAUGAAAUUCGUGCCACUAGUUGACCAUGUCCUUGUCCAUGGUAUGACUAUGAGGGAGGCUGGGCAGUGAGUUCAGCCAAACUUAAGUUGCUUCACCAUCGCCUCGAUCAUGAGAACCUUCAGGGAGGAAAACAGGACACAGAGACAAUGGAAUGGAAGAAGCCUGACUAUACAUUUCAGUUGAUGCGUGCCAGGGGUGGAUCAGGCAUGCAAGAGGAUUUCCCCCCCGCUGCCUGGAUAGGGCCAGUACAGCCUGUGAUGUUGACGAGAUUCUCUGGCCUGUCCCAGACCAAAGAUGUGAUGCUGGGGCAGGAUAUUUUUUGUUGUUUGGUGUAUUGUACUGUACAGUACAUUAAGGAAUAAAAAAUGUGCAAAUGUAUACACAUGUUCAUCAUGUGAAAAGUUCUUUGAGGGGGAGAACCACAAGUGACACAACUUAUUAUUGGUUUUUGUUUUUUGUAGUAUUGUUUUGAAUUUAUCUCACCAGUGUGUAAGACUAUGUUGUAGUGUGUGUGUUUUUGAGGGCUUGUGUGUGAUGUCUGAGGGCAAAGUUUGGUUUUUCAGCAAGAGUGAAUGGUUUUGAGUGUAGAGCUUCAUUUUGACCUGAAAAUAGGAUGUUUGGGGAAUUGGGUGAGACGUUAUGGAUUUGUGUUUACUGUUUUGAGAAUAUGAGGCAUAGUUUCAAGAAACGUGUUUAAGCAAUCGAGAAAAACUGUAA
This is a long non-coding RNA of Ctenopharyngodon idella (grass carp), 3385 nucleotides long. RefSeq lists it as uncharacterized. The record is from RefSeq and is a predicted model, not a curated record. NCBI's taxonomy places the organism in Eukaryota, Metazoa, Chordata, Actinopteri, Cypriniformes, Xenocyprididae. The transcript is spliced from 2 exons.